This 1127-nucleotide long non-coding RNA is filed under the name Sparus aurata (gilthead seabream). RNAcentral's name for it is "lncRNA (ENSSAUG00010010591.1)". Lineage: Eukaryota; Metazoa; Chordata; Actinopteri; Spariformes; Sparidae. The record is from RNAcentral.
UUUCCCUCUGUCUAGAUGAUCAUUGAAGCCAUAAAGUGGCCCCUUGCCAAAGAGAAGGGUAGUGAUGCCACAGAGCAUGGUAGUGAUGACAGUGAAGAUGAAGUUGCACCAGCCGCAGUCAGCGCCAUUGCAAAGUUUUUUAAAACCUUUGUCGAGCAAGCAUCACCAGACCUUCUGCGGCAGCUGCUUAGGUUCUGGACCGGCUGGGAAGUGCUUGUUGAAAGCCUCAGCCUAGAGGUGGUACAGUCACGUGGGCGUAACCACCUGCCAACAGCAAGCACGUGUUAUGAGCGCUUGCGAAUUCCUGACCAUUACAAGACUUUUGCAUCUUUACAGUCUGAUCUCAUGAUUUGUCUCAGAUCAGUGGAGAGUGGCUUUGGUCUGAUUUAACUAUGCAACUCAGUGCUGUUGCAAUUUGUUCUCUUUUCAGUGCAAUAUUUCAGAAUCGUUCCUUCCUUCAGUAAGGGUCACAACAGCACUAUCAGUGAGUGUUAGUAGAGUUGUGUUAACUGUCUUCAAGGCACAAACAAAAGUUUUCAGAAUGUUGUCCAUCACAAUGGAUGUCAAAAACCCAAAAGUGUGUCAAAGUUGUGUUCCAUGUAAUUGUGAACUCUUAACAUUACUCUAGCAAACUUUCAACAUACUGUAGAGCAGUCAGAUAAAUGUCAACACCACUAGACUCUGAUGGCUGCAUGGGGUCAAUGAGGUGCUUCAGUGUCUCCAGUUGGUCAGGAGUGAGAGGGCUCUCCAGUUGGGGAACAUUUACUCCAAGGUCUGGUUGUGGGACCUCCCCACUCUCCUCCCAGUCGAUCUCAGGAAUGUUCAUCUCCUUAUUUGUUGAAAAAAAAAUUUAAUUAGAACAUACUUAUUUUGUCAUCUAAGAUUUUAGGCAGGAAACAUAUGACAAUAAAUGGUUUGUGUUAUUAUAUCAUAUUUUAUCACAGAGUUUCAUUGUUCCUUUUACCUCUCUAAGGUUACUAUACACAGAAUAGUAAAAAUGGUGGGACCAAAGAGAUGUUAGCACUAAUGUUAUGAUUCAACAUGUGACAUCAAAUACACAGCUUUGUAUAAUUGUAGGUCAUGGAACUUUCAUUCAGGCUCAUGUGUCAACCAGGCUAACUUUGACC